Molecule: non-coding RNA, 29 nt
Filed under: Homo sapiens (human)
Lineage: Eukaryota; Metazoa; Chordata; Mammalia; Primates; Hominidae
Source: RNAcentral
GGCAAUGGCAAAGAAUGUGGUCAGGCUGU